CGGAACGUGCCCAGUCGUGGGGGAUAACUACUCGAAAGAGUAGCUAAUACCGCAUACGAUCUGAGGAUGAAAGCGGGGGACCUUCGGGCCUCGCGCGAUUGGAGCGGCCGAUGGCAGAUUAGGUAGUUGGUGGGAUAAAAGCUUACCAAGCCGACGAUCUGUAGCUGGUCUGAGAGGACGACCAGCCACACUGGGACUGAGACACGGCCCAGACUCCUACGGGAGGCAGCAGUGGGGAAUUUUGGACAAUGGGCGAAAGCCUGAUCCAGCAAUGCCGCGUGCAGGAUGAAGGCCUUCGGGUUGUAAACUGCUUUUGUACGGAACGAAAAAGCUUCUCCUAAUACGAGAGGCCCAUGACGGUACCGUAAGAAUAAGCACCGGCUAACUACGUGCCAGCAGCCGCGGUAAUACGUAGGGUGCGAGCGUUAAUCGGAAUUACUGGGCGUAAAGCGUGCGCAGGCGGUUAUGUAAGACAGAUGUGAAAUCCCCGGGCUCAACCUGGGAACUGCAUUUGUGACUGCAUGGCUAGAGUACGGUAGAGGGGGAUGGAAUUCCGCGU
RNAcentral lists this ribosomal RNA (559 nucleotides) under uncultured bacterium. RNAcentral describes it as "bacterial SSU rRNA". It matches the Rfam family "Bacterial small subunit ribosomal RNA", at positions 119 to 674 of the family's 1533-position model. The record is from RNAcentral.